GAAGGCAUCCUCCUUCCAGAAGACGUAAGCCUUACAAAAUAGCCACAAAACUCUUCAUGGCACUACUGCAGCACCACUGAACUCUUCUUUCUUGGACGCAUCAUUGCCAUUAGUAUGCUGAAUCAUGGCACAGUGGAAUUGAAGUAUGAUUUCCUCGCAGGGACACACAUACUGGUGCAGCUGCGACUGCCACCAAGGCCGCUUCAUAUUUGAGUGCUGAGCCACGGGGUACUCGGCCCGCCACAACAGCCACUGUGCAAGGCACAUCACAAGUGGGCAUUGACAUGCCGAGAUCUUUCCCGUGGCAGCAUCAACUUCCGCAGCAGAUCAGGCUACCUGAGCAGACUGGAAUUCAAUACUCUUUGGCAGCUGCAUCACUGUUGCAGGAAG
RNAcentral lists this long non-coding RNA (390 nucleotides) under Coccomyxa subellipsoidea. RNAcentral describes it as "long non-coding RNA (CSUB_LNC000567)". The record is from RNAcentral. Lineage: Eukaryota; Viridiplantae; Chlorophyta; Trebouxiophyceae; Coccomyxaceae.